CAGUCGCCACGGUAAUACGGAGGGGGCUAGCGUUAUUCGGAAUUACUGGGCGUAAAGCGCACGUAGGCGGAUCAGAAGUCAGAGGUGAAAUCCCAGGGCUCAACCUUGGAACUGCCUUUGAAACUCCUGAUCUUGAGGUCGAGAGAGGUGAGUGGAAUUCCGAGUGUAGAGGUGAAAUUCGUAGAUAUUCGGAGGAACACCAGUGGCGAAGGCGGCUCACUGGCUCGAUACUGACGCUGAGGUGCGAAAGCGUGGGGAGCAAACAGGAUUAGAGACCCCCGUAGUCCCUGUCUCUUAUACA
This 301-nucleotide ribosomal RNA is filed under the name uncultured bacterium. RNAcentral's name for it is "partial 16S ribosomal RNA". It matches the Rfam family "Bacterial small subunit ribosomal RNA", at positions 509 to 808 of the family's 1533-position model. The record is from RNAcentral.